Long non-coding RNA from Vespula pensylvanica (western yellowjacket), 881 nucleotides. RefSeq lists it as uncharacterized. Lineage: Eukaryota; Metazoa; Arthropoda; Insecta; Hymenoptera; Vespidae. The record is from RefSeq and is a predicted model, not a curated record. The transcript has 3 exons.
UUGGCACUCGAUGUAAAGCAAUCUCGUUGUUUUCUCCCUCGACGAGAAAACUCGUUCACGCUCACUCUGAUCCGAAAAAAAGUUGUUUCGUUUGUACAAGUUUUCUUAGACUCGGAGAAAAUGUGUGUAAUUUGGUAAAUGACUAUGUCGGAUUCGUUAAAUUAACAACGACGAAAGUACAACACCCAGGAGAAAAGAGCAAUUCAAAAUGCUCGUCACUUUGCGAACGAAGCAAAAGGAUAGAAGAAACGGACAGUGGAAGACGGACAGCAGUGGUAAACAGUGUAGACGGACAAGGCCAGUGGAGAAUUGAAACGGACAAUGGGGAUAGUAGAAGCGGACAAGAGAAAUGGACGCUGGUGGGACUCUAGCGUAGAAAUAAAUAGUAGAAACGGCUGUUACAAACGGCCAACGAGUGACAAAGUGUGGCUGACUGUGUGGAUGCUCGCUAUCGAAAAGAGGUAAAAGAAGGCGUGCAAUUCUCAAUGGCGUCGAGGAAGCAGCGGUAACUGGGUGGAGAAAAUGGAUGAACGAACGAUCGCUAAAACGAACAAUAGAGAAUAAACAAGACUCGUAGAAUUCGUAUAUGUACCUACAUAGACGGUGGCAUAGGAAAGCGUCGAUUGCAGUGCGACUAAAGCGAGCAAAUAUCGAGGUUAUAUACGAGGCGCCGAUAGAGCAUGUUGCUUGCAAAUGAGGGAGACAGGAAGAGAGAGAGAGAGAGAGGAGGAAAUGCGUUUAUUUAAUUCAAUUAAAAUUCUUAUUAAGUUCAAACAUCGUGUCCUCGUGAUUCGUUUCGAUGCGAAUUCAUGGUGAACGAAUUAGAAAUCAUCACGUGUCACCGAUACAUCUACAAAUAUACCUAUGUGUACUUGAACGAA